GACGAACCGUCCUAACGUUGUUCGGAAUCACUGGGCUUAAAGGGCGCGUAGGCGGUCGGCAAAGUUAGGGGUGAAAUCUUUCGGCUUAACCGGAAAAGUGCCUUUAAAACUAGUCGACUCGAGCGAGAUAGGGGCAACUGGAACUUCCGGUGGAGCGGUGAAAUGCGUUGAUAUCGGGAGGAACGCCGGUGGCGAAAGCGGUUCUCUGGGCAUGUCCUGACGCUGAGGAGCGAAAGUGUGGGGAGCGAACAGG
RNAcentral lists this ribosomal RNA (253 nucleotides) under uncultured bacterium. Its description in RNAcentral is "partial 16S ribosomal RNA". It matches the Rfam family "Bacterial small subunit ribosomal RNA", at positions 524 to 776 of the family's 1533-position model. The record is from RNAcentral.